Molecule: long non-coding RNA, 313 nt
Filed under: Rosa chinensis
Lineage: Eukaryota; Viridiplantae; Streptophyta; Magnoliopsida; Rosales; Rosaceae
Description: sRNA RchiOBHm_Chr5g0067501
Rfam family: MIR398 microRNA precursor family (bases 208-313)
Source: RNAcentral
AGGAGUCCCACAGGGGCGACUUGAGAUCACAUGUGUGCACUCUCACCACAACCUAGAGUGAGAGUGAUGGUGUUAUUUUGCAUUACACGUGUUCUCAGGUCGCCCCUGCGGGGCUUCCUCUACCACAUAAUCGCGCUUAUAAAAUGAUAAGAUGAGCAAUGUAGAGAUGUAUGCAAGUUCCUAGCAUAAGCCAGCCACAACGGGUAGAGGAGUCCCAUAGGAGUGACCUGAGACCACAUGUGAACACCCUCACCACAAUCCUGAAGUGAGAGUACCUAAUCGUGUGUUCUCAGGUCGCCCCUGUAGGACUUUC